Molecule: ribosomal RNA, 460 nt
Filed under: uncultured bacterium
Lineage: Bacteria
Description: partial 16S ribosomal RNA
Rfam family: Bacterial small subunit ribosomal RNA
Source: RNAcentral
CCUACGGGAGGCAGCAGUGAGGAAUAUUGGUCAAUGGACGAGAGUCUGAACCAGCCAAGUAGCGUGAAGGAUGACUGCCCUAUGGGUUGUAAACUUCUUUUAUAUGGGAAUAAAAUGUUCCACGUGUGGGAUUUUGUAUGUACCAUAUGAAUAAGGAUCGGCUAACUCCGUGCCAGCAGCCGCGGUAAUACGGAUGAUCCGAGCGUUAUCCGGAUUUAUUGGGUUUAAAGGGAGCGUAGGUGGAUUGUUAAGUCAGUUGUGAAAGUUUGCGGCUCAACCGUAAAAUUGCAGUUGAAACUGGCAGUCUUGAGUACAGUAGAGGUGGGCGGAAUUCGUGGUGUAGCGGUGAAAUGCUUAGAUAUCACGAAGAACUCCGAUUGCGAAGGCAGUUCACUGGACUGCAACUGACACUGAGGCUCGAAAGUGUGGGUAUCAAACAGGAUUAGAUACCCGAGUAGUC